GAUGAACGCUGGCGGCGUGCCUAAUACAUGCAGGUCGAGCGAACGGACGAGAAGCUUGCUUCUCUGAUGUUAGCGGCGGACGGGUGAGUAACACGUGGAUAACCUACCUAUAAGACUGGGAUAACUUCGGGAAACCGGAGCUAAUACCGGAUGAUAUUUUGAACCGCAUGGUUCAAAAGUGAAAGACGGUCUUGCUGUCACUUAUAGAUGGAUCCGCGCUGCAUUAGCUAGUUGGUAAGGUAACGGCUUACCAAGGCAACGAUGCAUAGCCGACCUGAGAGGGUGAUCGGCCACACUGGAACUGAGACACGGUCCAGACUCCUACGGGAGGCAGCAGUAGGGAAUCUUCCGCAAUGGGCGAAAGCCUGACGGAGCAACGCCGCGUGAGUGAUGAAGGUCUUCGGAUCGUAAAACUCUGUUAUUAGGGAAGAACAUAUGUGUAAGUAACUGUGCACAUCUUGACGGUACCUAAUCAGAAAGCCACGGCUAACUACGU
RNAcentral lists this ribosomal RNA (496 nucleotides) under uncultured bacterium. Its description in RNAcentral is "partial 16S ribosomal RNA". It matches the Rfam family "Bacterial small subunit ribosomal RNA", at positions 28 to 506 of the family's 1533-position model. The record is from RNAcentral.